AUGAAUGGGAAGGACACAGGGAUGAAUAAGAUGCAAACCACCAGUUUUGGAGACCUCUGCUUUUCCAAGGUUCUUGACAAGAGUAGUGAGGAAUUUCCACCCUUCCUUGACCUCUGCAGAACACCACUGACACAGCCUGGCACAAAGGAGCCUUUGAUGGCAUGGGGAGUCCCGAGGAAGCGGCAAUGCCACCUAAGAAGGCACUGGGCUCCCAGGGGUUUUUUGCUUUCUUUCCCACCUGCCCCAGAUGAAAGGCCCCAAGGCAAAUGGAUUUUAGGAGGUGGAGGGGUGAGCUGUUGUGAGCUUGUGUGUUUUACUGCCAUAUCCCAGCGGCUGCGCAGCUCCACUGAAAACCGGAGCUCUAUUAUUCUCUUGUAUCAGUAG
This 384-nucleotide long non-coding RNA is filed under the name Anas platyrhynchos platyrhynchos (common mallard). Its description in RNAcentral is "lncRNA (ENSAPLG00000021088.1)". Lineage: Eukaryota; Metazoa; Chordata; Aves; Anseriformes; Anatidae. The record is from RNAcentral.